AUGGAUAUGGAACACGAAAUACCAAAAAAAUUAGGUGUACUUGCUACUCAUGGAGAUGGGGAACCUCCUAAAACCCUUGAUGCUUGCUAUGUUCAAAAUAUUAUGUACUACUUUGAUAAUCCUGAGAAAACCCCAUUAAAUUAUGUUAUGGGAGUAACUCUGGAUCAACGUGAAUACUUUAGGGAUUAUUGCUUGACACAAAAAGGGAAAAUAUUAUGGGAUCAAAGUUCUAUGUUGCGUUGGUAUGCUCGGGAUCUAUGCUUGAGAUAUGAUUAUAAUUCUUGCUCUAGGAUGAAGGCUCCACACCUUCCCUUUUCAUGCAAAUUUAAUGAUAAUAAAACCUUAGCUUCUUAG
RNAcentral lists this ribosomal RNA (354 nucleotides) under Triticum aestivum (bread wheat). RNAcentral describes it as "partial small subunit ribosomal RNA". The record is from RNAcentral. Lineage: Eukaryota; Viridiplantae; Streptophyta; Magnoliopsida; Poales; Poaceae.